Molecule: long non-coding RNA, 2404 nt
Organism: Labrus mixtus (cuckoo wrasse)
Lineage: Eukaryota; Metazoa; Chordata; Actinopteri; Labriformes; Labridae
Exons: 2
Source: RefSeq, a predicted model, not a curated record
GAACAAGCUGCUGACUACCUUUAAGAAGCUGGAAGUCGUAUUUUAAUCCAGAUGAACAGGGUCCAGUGUAAAUAAUGAAACGUGAUAAUAUGAAAUCUCUCCACUUUAGGUCGUCCAUCUCGUCCCACACAGUCCACGCUGCUGUGAAACCCGUCUAGGAACAGAAACAGUAGACGGUGUGUCAGCCGCACUGCCAGUGAGGCUGCGUCACACUGUUUUUAAAAACAGCACAGCAUGCUCGAUGUUCCUCCUGGGAGGGGUUUGAAAGAUGCCCCCCCCAGCCCCCGUCCUGUCACCCCACCUGAUCCCACAGACCUCCGCCCCCCCAACAAGCCUUUCUGCUCACUAAUGAUUUGUGAAUGUGUGUGUCUGUCGUUGUUUACUAAAUGUGUCCGUGUGUGUACGAGGUCGUACUGUGACUUCCUGUUUUCAUUUGAGAUUUCUCUGUAUUUAACAGACUUUCUAUGUUUUUAACAUGUUUGUUUUUAUAUGAUUUAAUUUAUUUAUAUUUAUUUGAGGAGAUGUCCUUAAUGCCUUCUUUAGAAAUUGUAUUGUAGGCUCCAGUGUGUGUGUUUUUGUUACGACACAUGGGUGUGUGUCCUGUAUGUGUAUGAACGUGCAAUCGACUGCAGGUUUCCAAAUGUUCGGGCACAUGUCAAACUCGCUGUAUCCGUCUUAUUCUGAUGACUGUGGGUGCUCCAUAGAGACACACACACACACACACACACACAGACCAUCCUAGAAACCACUGACGCCCCCCCCCCCCCCCCAAAAGGUCCAGAUGAUGUCCGUUUUUGUCGACAUGAACCUUUGACUUUGUGUGUUUGUGUGCAGCUCGCUCUCUCUGACACACACACUCCUCAUAGAUCACGUGUACAUUGACUCUGUACAGACUGUAAAAAGAAGAAUUUAGGGAAUCAAGAGAGGAAAAAUCACCAUGUGUACCAGUGAGAACCCGUCAUGUCACAGGGAGACGACUUAAUGUUUCUUUUUCUUUCACGUCUCGUUCAAGUGUAAAAUCUUCUCACAUCGAUAGAAGUCUAAAAGUUUAACAAGUUUAAUACCUGAAACACAUCUUUGAACAGUCUUUAGACUAUUCCAUCAUUAUCAAGUACCAGGAAGUGUUUUAAAGCCCCCCUCUCAGUCACUGUAGGUCUGAUUCAUACCCCAGGGAGAAGUUAGUGCGCAGCAGACAGCGCUUCAUCGGGUCUCUGAUGGACGCCAGGAGUCAGCUGUCAGCUGGCUCAAUCACCGUCUCUCACUGAACAGGCUGCCACUGUUCAGAGCAGUGAGAGAGCACCCCCUCAAGGGGAGUGGUCACAAUGACAUCCUGAGAUCAUCCCACCCUUCCUUCAUAAUCAAACAUCUCACUGAUGGUCAGACGCUGGCUGACUUUGACACACGACAGGUUUUUAGGCUCCAAACAGGAAGUGUCUCAAAACGUGUGAGGGUUGCUUCUUACUUUCUUCGGUCACGAUUGGAGCCUCAGAUAAACUCUUUGCUAACCUUAGGUGACCCAGGCCAGUAGGGGGCCCCCUAACGGCUGACAAACUUUGAAACCCGAGCAUUGCCUCAGAUGCUCAUUUAGCAACGACAGGAAAUCUGCCUAAGGGGGCCCCAUCUGACAUCACUCACUUUCAAUACCCUGCUAAGCAUCACAGCAUUAUUCAGGUGAAAAACAAAAUGUGUCAAUUAAGGAAAAUGAAGAGGAGUUAUCAAUCUGAAAAAAAGUGAAAAAAGACAGAGGGAAAAUUCAUUGGAAGAGGCCCCACAAUGAACCUUUGCCUGGGGCCCCAACAGACCCUAGAAUGGCCCCUGAAUGGAACUAACUGGAAUCAUAAUUCGCUCCCCGUCUUUUAACCCGGGUCAUUAAAUGUGACGUCCUGUGCCAUGUGCCACUUUCAACACCAGGUGUGAUUUAGAUUUAUACUUCCUGUUUUCCACUUUUCCUCAUUAAGGACAACUGGUGACACCAGGCGACUGACUUCUUUAUGAGGUAUGAAUCCAGCCAAAUAUUUCUACGUCAUCCUAUCAAACCACUUAGUAACCGCUGGGCCCCGGAGAUAGUCGGUCCAGACUCUAAUAUAACGCGCCGGUGUGUAUGAGUGAGUAUGUGCUGUGUGUUUGUUAAUGUAAGCGACGGUUGUAGAUAGACCCAGCCAAUCAACCAGUUAGCAUGCAGACGUCGGGUCUUCACUCUCAUCAACUUGAAUUUACUAAAAGAUGAAAAAUAUAGAAGGAAGCAAAGUGACUCUACAGAGCGUAAGUGUUACCGUAUUUAGCUUUAAAUGGUCACUCUGAAAAAGAAGACGCGCUUUUUAAUCCCUUUUUCUGGUUGUUUUUUCUACUCGGUUCCUACUAAUGACGAGUUAGUAGUCGGUGUGUUCGAUGAUGUUCGUCUGAU